UACGGAGGGUGCAAGCGUUAUCCGGAUUCACUGGGUUUAAAGGGCGCGUAGGCGGCCACCGCAAGUCGGUUGUGAAAUCUCCGGGCUUAACCCGGAAAGGUCAAUCGAUACUGCGGGGCUAGAGUGCAGAAGGGGCAACUGGAAUUCUCGGUGUAGCGGUGAAAUGCGUAGAUAUCGAGAGGAACACCUGCGGCGAAGGCGGGUUGCUGGGCUGACACUGACGCUGACAGCGCGAAAGCUAGGGGAGCGAACGGG
This 255-nucleotide ribosomal RNA is filed under the name uncultured bacterium. RNAcentral's name for it is "partial 16S ribosomal RNA". It matches the Rfam family "Bacterial small subunit ribosomal RNA", at positions 524 to 776 of the family's 1533-position model. The record is from RNAcentral.